ACGAAUAGCACUGAGACGACAGAGCUCAAUACCUCAUUCCAGACUCAACCCCACAACAGUGAGGACCUGAAAUAUUAGAAAUCAAAAACUUAAUUCGAUUAUUUUCGAAAACUCUAUACGCAUAGUAAUCAUGGAUCAAUUCAAUGUCCCUCGAAAAGUGAACCGUCAUGUAUACAAAGCUUUCCACAACUUGGUUGUGCCCGGAGAGUACGUGUCGGAGGCAGAAAUAUUACAUGAGGUUCGCUACACAAUGCGCAACUUGAACCCGACCACAGACUUGCCUGGUUUCGUAAAAAAAUCGAUCUUCAACAUGAAAUUGUUGGGAAUUUUGAACGAAAAAGAUAAAAUGUACAGCUUGCGCGAUCGCUCUGAAAACCGCAAUCGAAACAACGCGGCCGGGGGCACUGUGUCUGGCUCGGCAGAAGAUGCCGAUGAUGAUGAUGUUUUUUUACCACUAACCGCAGAGGGAGUGUGUGUCGGCGAUUUGUUCAGGCCCUUUACCAUACCAACACCUAGACGGAUCGAGCCGGAAUGGGAUUCAGAGCCAAGGAUUGGAUCGGGAGAAGAGUGUUUGACGGACGACCAAAAGUAUGCGAAGAGGAAUGAACGGAAUUAGAUAAGGAUCAGGCUACAACUAUUUUAAUUUAGCCGGUUAAGUGUUAUAGUUACCAAGAGAUAUGCAAGCCAGGUGAGCUGUCAGCAUCAUUUUGCAAAAGGAUGCCCGGGAUGCUGUGGCUGUGUUGGAUGCCUGACUGCAUACGAGAUGCCCUCGGCAGAUGCCUGCUUUAAUCAUAAUAUUAAUAAUAUUAAAAGUUUUAUUUUUACAAUUUGCAAGAGUAACUAGAGCCUGCACCGACGAAGUUAUUUUUCCCAAAAUUCCCAGUGAAAUACCA
This is a long non-coding RNA of Drosophila bipectinata, 893 nucleotides long. RefSeq lists it as uncharacterized. The record is from RefSeq and is a predicted model, not a curated record. NCBI's taxonomy places the organism in Eukaryota, Metazoa, Arthropoda, Insecta, Diptera, Drosophilidae.